UACGUAGGGGGCGAGCGUUGUCCGGAAUUAUUGGGCGUAAAGAGCUCGUAGGCGGUGUGUCGCGUCGGCCGUGAAAACCUGGGGCUCAACUCUGGGCGUGCGGUCGAUACGGGCAUCACUGGAGUUCGGCAGGGGAGACUGGAAUUCCUGGUGUAGCGGUGAAAUGCGCAGAUAUCAGGAGGAACACCGGUGGCGAAGGCGGGUCUCUGGGCCGAUACUGACGCUGAGGAGCGAAAGCAUGGGUAGCGAACAGG
RNAcentral lists this ribosomal RNA (254 nucleotides) under uncultured bacterium. RNAcentral's name for it is "partial 16S ribosomal RNA". It matches the Rfam family "Bacterial small subunit ribosomal RNA", at positions 524 to 776 of the family's 1533-position model. The record is from RNAcentral.